RNAcentral lists this ribosomal RNA (497 nucleotides) under uncultured bacterium. Its description in RNAcentral is "partial 16S ribosomal RNA". It matches the Rfam family "Bacterial small subunit ribosomal RNA", at positions 28 to 507 of the family's 1533-position model. The record is from RNAcentral.
GAUGGACGCUGGCGGCGUGCCUAAUACAUGCAAGUCGAGCGAACGGACGAGAAGCUUGCUUUUCUGAUGUUAGCGGCGGACGGGUGAGUAACACGUGGAUAACCUACCUAUAAGACUGGGAUAACUUCGGGAAACCGGAGCUAAUACCGGAUAAUAUUUUGAACCGCAUGGUUCAAAAGUGAAAGACGGUCUUGCUGUCACUUAUAGAUGGAUCCGCGCUGCAUUAGCUAGUUGGUAAGGUAACGGCUUACCAAGGCAACGAUGCAUAGCCGACCUGAGAGGGUGAUCGGCCACACUGGAACUGAGACACGGUCCAGACUCCUACGGGAGGCAGCAGUAGGGAAUCUUCCGCAAUGGGCGAAAGCCUGACGGAGCAACGCCGCGUGAGUGAUGAAGGUCUUCGGAUCGUAAAACUCUGUUAUUAGGGAAGAACAUAUGUGUAAGUAACUGUGCACAUCUUGACGGUACCUAAUCAGAAGGCCACGGCUAACUACGUG